CUGUAAGAGUCCAUAAAGUGACAGAAUGAGUGAAUGUGCAAAGAAACUAUUCCAAGAACCAGGAAAAUACAAGAAGAGUUAAUAAUAACCCAAGCAAUUAAAAUGAUGCAUAUCAGGUACUGGGGAUGCUUUAGUGUGCUUGGGCUGCCAUAACAAAGUACCACUGAUUGGGUGGCUUAAACAACCAACUUAUUUUUCACGAUUCUGGAGGCUUGAAUUUCAAGAGCAAGAUACUAGCAAAUUUGGUUUCUGGUGAAGACUCUCUUCCUAGCUUGCAAAUCACCCACCUUCUUGCUGUGUCCUCACAUGGCCUUUUCCUCUGUGCUUACAGCGAGAGAGAGAGAGAGAGAGAUCUGGUGUCACUCUACUUAUAAAGAUACAACUUCUAUUUCAUAAGGGUCCCACCCUUAUUACUGCCUUUAACCUUACUUAGUUCCUUAAAGGUUCUCUAAGAUGGUGGGGUGGGGUGGCAUUCAGUUCAGAACAGGAGAUAUGGCUAAAGUACUGGAAAGAAAAAUGUACAGCCUAAAAGAGGUACCUGCCCAUCCAUUCAUCUACUCCUCCCUCCAACCACUCCUCCCACUAUCCAUUCAGUAUACAUACAUUAAGACAAAAUUUUAAAACUCAAAAAGAUAUAUAGAAAGACUUAAUACAAGUAAAA
RNAcentral lists this long non-coding RNA (661 nucleotides) under Homo sapiens (human). RNAcentral's name for it is "non-protein coding lnc-LRRTM3-12:1". The record is from RNAcentral. Lineage: Eukaryota; Metazoa; Chordata; Mammalia; Primates; Hominidae.